AGUGGCGGACGGGUGAGUAACGCGUGAGAACAUGCCCUUAGGUUCGGGACAACAGUUGGAAACGGCUGCUAAUACCGAAUGUGCCGAGAGGUGAAAGAUUAAUUGCCUAGGGAUUGGCUCGCGUCAGAUUAGCUAGUUGGUGGAGUAAUGGUUUACCAAGGCGACGAUCUGUAUUUGGUCUGAGAGGAUGACCAGACACACUGGGACUGAGACACGGCCCAGACUCCUACGGGAGGCAGCAGUGGGGAAUUUUCCGCAAUGGGCGAAAGCCUGACGGAGCAAUACCGCGUGAGGGAGGACGGCUUUUGGGUUGUAAACCUCUUUUAUCAGGGAAGAAACAAAUGACGGUACCUGAUGAAUCAGCAUCGGCUAACUCCGUGCCAGCAGCCGCGGUAAUACGGAGGAUGCAAGCGUUAUCCGGAAUUAUUGGGCGUAAAGCGUCCGUAGGUGGUUUUUCAAGUCUGCUGUCAAAGCGUGGAGCUCAACUCCAUAACGGCAGUGGAAACUGGGAGACUAGAGUGCGAUAGGGGUAACGGGAAUUCCCAGUGUAGCGGUGAAAUGCGUAGAGAUUGGGAAGAACACCAGCGGCGAAAGCGCGUUACUGGGUCUGCACUGACACUGAGGGACGAAAGCUAGGGGAGCGAAAGGGAUUAGAUACCCCUGUAGUCCUAGCUGUAAACGAUGGA
RNAcentral lists this ribosomal RNA (686 nucleotides) under Pseudophormidium sp. ATA5-5-1-DP04. Its description in RNAcentral is "bacterial SSU rRNA". It matches the Rfam family "Bacterial small subunit ribosomal RNA", at positions 94 to 813 of the family's 1533-position model. Lineage: Bacteria; Bacillati; Cyanobacteriota; Cyanophyceae; Leptolyngbyales; Leptolyngbyaceae. The record is from RNAcentral.